GGUGAUUCUCAGGUGACGCACACCAGAGUCGGGCUCCUUCCUCUCUGAUUCCAGGUGUGUCACCCAAAACCACA
Molecule: non-coding RNA, 74 nt
Organism: Myotis brandtii (Brandt's bat)
Lineage: Eukaryota; Metazoa; Chordata; Mammalia; Chiroptera; Vespertilionidae
Source: Rfam